This is a long non-coding RNA of Eupeodes corollae, 1566 nucleotides long. RefSeq lists it as uncharacterized. NCBI's taxonomy places the organism in Eukaryota, Metazoa, Arthropoda, Insecta, Diptera, Syrphidae. The transcript is spliced from 3 exons. The record is from RefSeq and is a predicted model, not a curated record.
UUCUGUGGGGGCGUGCGCGCAUAUCAGGCUAAUGUUGUCGAAUAUAGCCUUGAUGCGUAUGGUCAUGAGACGCUCAUUGAUGCACCUAUAGCUCAAGACUUCUUGCCUAAGUCUGGCUCCAAUUAAAUUAAGCGCUGUUGGUUUUCGUGGUAGCUGUCACCAUAGUAAAUAUAGAAGUUUUUCAUCCUCUUUUUGCCCGGCCCAUCCCAUCGUAUUUCCUGGAUGGCGGUGAUAUCUGCUUUAUAUCGUUCUAGGGCCUCCGCUUAUUCUGCGGCCGCACGUGGUCUGUUAAGGGACCUAACAUUCCACGUGCAUAUCCGAAGUUCGUUGUCCUUUAUUCGUUUGCGUUGGUUGUCAACAGUAAAUCCGUCCGUAUCCGAGGCUUGUUGGUGCUUCGCAACUAUGAGGCUUUUACGUGGCCAGGAAGUCACCCCGACGCACAACCCUCUACCUGUAGGGCCAGAUCCUAAGUAUAACUCCAAGGAUAGGAAUCCAGAUAAAACCGCUCCCUUUAGGCCUGGGCUCCGAAUAAGUAGAAGAAGCAGUAUUAGGUGUUCACUUAGUAGUUCAACAUUACUGGAAAUGUAGACGCCACAGUUGAUUCCAUCUUGGGAAUUCCUCCGCUGCCGUCUGGAUAAGGAGAGGUGCCUUAGUGGAAACACCUCUCCCCACCUCUCUCGUUUGCUGCCCCCAACAACUUUCCACUGGGGUUGGAAACAAAUCUCCAGUUGAGGUAUUAGGCGCCCGAUGUUCACCACGGGGAUGUGAGAGUCGGAGUUGAUGCACAGAGGUGGGUUUUGAGAAAAACCUGUGGAUGCUUGUGUCCUCUUGAUUGCACAUGUCUACGGAAAAAGAAAAGGAUUGCACAUUACACGCCACUUACCCAACGGCGAAUUGGUUAGUGUGGAGUAACCUUAAAAAUGCGUUAUCUUGCCUAUCUACAAAUACUACACAUCGUUUGAAUCUGUGUUGUCCAGAAGGAUAUUCUUGCCUUCAAGCAUUAAGGAAAUAUAUUAUCUAGAGUCCCGACCGGUACCCGUCCUACCUGAAACACCCUCAAAUUUUAUUCGAGGUGCACUCUCUCAAAUUCGAGGUGAACUUUCGCUAUCGGUGAAUACAUGUGCGUGGAGAAUAAAAAACAAAAUGGGGGAUUGGGCUAAAAAGAAACUUAUGGAAUUUUUGUGACCUGUCAAAAAUGCAAUAAUUUUGCAAAACAAAACAAGAACCAAAAUUUUUUAUAAUGAAGAGGGUAUACACAAGUUCACUUCUUUGAAUAAAAAUCUGUCUUUUCAUUUUGGAUAGUGCCAAUAACAUACUCUCAUGCAGGAAGCAAUUUCCCUAAGAAAGCUGGAAGAGCAAGCACACAAAGCGCUGAUUUGGAGGAAGUUUUUUUUGUAUAUUAUAUUUCUCUUAACAAAAUAACAUUAAAGUUUUUAACGGCCAUAGCUGCCGCAGGCGUUGACAGUGGAGGUGUCACAAUCUUUACCAAUAGUCAAACGCAUUCAAUGCAACAAAACCAUCAGCAACAACACCACCAAGCUCUCUAUGGUUUCUUUUUUAUCUGAG